Molecule: ribosomal RNA, 253 nt
Filed under: uncultured bacterium
Lineage: Bacteria
Description: partial 16S ribosomal RNA
Rfam family: Bacterial small subunit ribosomal RNA
Source: RNAcentral
GACAGAGGGUGCAAACGUUGUUCGGAUUUACUGGGCGUAAAGCGUGUGUAGGCGGCCAGGUAAGUCCGUUCUGAAAGCCCGGGGCUCAACCCCGGGAGGCGGAUGGAUACUGCUUGGCUCGAGUCCGGAAGAGGCGAGUGGAAUUCCCGGUGUAGCGGUGAAAUGCGCAGAUAUCGGGAGGAACACCAAUGGCGAAGGCAGCUCGCUGGGACGGUACUGACGCUGAGACGCGAAAGCGUGGGGAGCAAACAGG